RNAcentral lists this ribosomal RNA (373 nucleotides) under uncultured Candidatus Sumerlaeota bacterium. RNAcentral describes it as "bacterial SSU rRNA". It matches the Rfam family "Bacterial small subunit ribosomal RNA", at positions 1014 to 1382 of the family's 1533-position model. Lineage: Bacteria; Candidatus Sumerlaeota. The record is from RNAcentral.
CCGUCUUCGGAGGCACGGUGACAGGUGUUGCAUGGCUGUCGUCAGCUCGUGUCGUGAGAUGUUGGGUUAAGUCCCGCCAACGAGCGCAACCCCUGUUCCUAGUUACCAGCGGUUCGGCCGGGAACUCUAGGAAGACUGCCCGUGAUAAGCGGGAGGAAGGUGGGGACGGACGUCAAGUCAUCAUGGCCCUUACGUCCAGGGCUACACACGUGCUACAAUGGCCGGUACAAUGGGUUGCGAAGCCGCAAGGUGAAGCUAAUCCCAAAAAAGACCGGUCUCAGUUGGGAUUGGAGUCUGCAACUCGACUCCAUGAACCUGGAAUCGCUAGUAAUCGCGUAUCAGCUACGACGCGGUGAAUACGUUCCCGGGCCUU